Molecule: long non-coding RNA, 823 nt
Organism: Thunnus maccoyii (southern bluefin tuna)
Lineage: Eukaryota; Metazoa; Chordata; Actinopteri; Scombriformes; Scombridae
Exons: 3
Source: RefSeq, a predicted model, not a curated record
GGGGUGAGCGAGCAUCUUUCUCCUUCUCCCUGAGUCUGGAGGGCAAAUCACAAAAAGGGAAAAUUUAAGGAAAUAGAACACUGGGAGAGGAGGGAAUGAAAAGUCUGUGGAGCCGGAACUUUGUAGGACAAGAGCUGUGUGUUCCUCCUUCGGGACAGCUUGUUUUUCUGAAAGUCCUUGCCGAGGCUGCACGUGCUGUUCACAAGGACAUCGUUUGGCAAAAACAAAGAUCAGGAAACCCCUUGUACCGUACUCGUGACUGUUAAAAUGAAUCCAAACUGAUGGCAUUUCGGGGAAAAUACUUCCAGCAGGGAGCAUGAGCAGAACCAGCUGAGAAAUAAUCCCCUCCAAUCCUCUCCUUGAUCACCUACACCGCCCUUCUUCCAUCCCAGCCAGCUACCACGCACACACCACACACACAUAUUAAAGAUGGGCCUCUCAAACACCACAGAUAAUAGAAGAACAGGGUGGAAACUGGACAUGUGGACAGGGUAAAUUCAAUAAACUUUCCUCAGUAUUGCAGCCGGAUGGUUGAGUCUCAUUACAAGACAGUUUAAAUGUGUUUUUUGUUGGUCUGAAAUGUUCCACCCAGACAUGUUUCUUCCUGCUAUUUGUCUGUUGUUAUAGUUGUAUUCCAUGGAUUUCUUUGUUUUUGUCUUUAAAGCUCCACUAAUUUAUAUUUCCAUAAUACCACUUAAUGAAAUUACUACAUGUAAUAUGAGAGUGGUCUCUUGCAGUGAUGGUAAGCUUAUCAAAAUUGACCAAAUAAGAUUUGUUCCAGGAUCAGUGAUACAACGUACAUAUAAAUAUCACAGUCCUGGUU